GAUGAAGAACGUAGCGAAAUGCGAUAAGUAAUGUGAAUUGCAGAAUUCAGUGAAUCAUCGAAUCUUUGAACGCACAUUACGCCCGCCAGUAUUCUGGCGGGCAUGCCUGUUCGAGCGUCAUUACAACCCUCAGGCCCCCGGGCCUGGCGUUGGGGAUCGGCGGAGCCCCCCGUGGGCACACGCCGUCCCCCAAAUGCAGUGGCGGUCCCGCCGCAGCUUCCAUCGCGUAGUAGCUAACACCUCGCGACUGGAGAGCGGCGCGGCCACGCCGUAAAACACCCAACUCUUCUGAAGUUGACCUCGAAUCCGGUAGGAAUACCCGCUGAACUUAAGCAUAUCAAUAAGCGGAGGA
Molecule: unclassified non-coding RNA, 352 nt
Filed under: soil metagenome
Description: partial contains 5.8S ribosomal RNA, internal transcribed spacer 2, and large subunit ribosomal RNA
Rfam family: 5.8S ribosomal RNA (bases 1-120)
Source: RNAcentral